UUGAAAAGAACUUUGAAGAGAGAGUUCAAGAGUACGUGAAACCGUUCAGGGGUAAACCUAAGAAACCCAAAAGAUCGAACGGGGAGAUUCAUCGUCAGCGUCGCUGGCUUCGCGUCGGUGGGCGAUGCGCCGCGGUUCGUCCGCGGGCACGCUACCGUGCGCGCAUGUCCGGCGUCGUCGUCGUGCACUUCUCCCCUAGUAGAACGUCGCGACCCGCUGGGUGUCGGUCUACGGCCCGGGUGAGGCGACUGCCGCGUCGUCGGUAAAACGACACGCGGCAAACCCUCGGAUGCCCGGCCGGCUGCCCGGCGGUACUCGCACGGUAUCAGGCCGCAAUGUGAUAUUUGCGUCAAGCCCGUCGCAAGCGCGCGCCACGGUUACUCGGAGGUACGGACCCAGCGCCGUCCCCGGUCCUGGUCCGCUGUUGGCCGACGGUGACCCUUUGACAGGCCUUCAACGGGGCGACGCGGAGGUUAAACUUCGCGCCCGCCUCGAUACCGGUCGGCGACGCUACUGCUUUGGGUACUCUUAGGACCCGUCUUGAAACACGGACCAAGGAGUCUAACAUGUGCGCGAGUCAUUGGGACUAGCAAAACCCAAAGGCGCAAUGAAAGUGAAGGUCGGCCUUGGCGCCGACCGAGGGAGGAUGGGCCGCGUCGCGAUGCGGCCUCGCACUCCCGGGGCGUCUCGUUCUCAUCGCGAGAAGAGGCGCACCAAGAGCGUACACGUUGGGACCCGAAAGAUGGUGAACUAUGCCUGGUCAGGACGAAGUCAGGGGAAACCCUGAUGGAGGUCCGUAGCGAUUCUGACGUGCAAAUCGAUCGUCGGAACUGGGUAUAGGGGCGAAAGACUAAUCGAACCAUCUAGUAGCUGGUUCCCUCCGAAGUUUCCCUCAGGAUAGCUGGCACUCGGCCGUUCUACGGAACGCGCGCGAGUCUCAUCUGGUAAAGCGAAUGAUUAGAGGCCUUGGGGCCGAAACGACCUCAACCUAUUCUCAAACUUUAAAUGGGUGAGAUCUCUGGCUUUCUUGAACGUUGAAGCCACGAGAAUCUCGGAUCAGAGUGCCAAGUGGGCCAUUUUUGGUAAGCAGAACUGGCGCUGUGGGAUGAACCAAACGCAGAGUUAAGGCGCCUAACUCGACGCUCAUGGGACACCAUGAAAGGCGUUGGUUGCUUAAGACAGCAGGACGGUGGCCAUGGAAGUCGGAAUCCGCUAAGGAGUGUGUAACAACUCACCUGCCGAAGCAACUAGCCCUGAAAAUGGAUGGCGCUGAAGCGUCGAGCCUAUACUCUGCCGUCAGCGGCAAGUGGGGCGGGGUCACCGCGUGGUAAAACACGCGGCCCCCGUCACGAAGCCCUGACGAGUAGGAGGGUCGCGGCGGUGUGCGCAGAAGGGUCU
Molecule: ribosomal RNA, 1398 nt
Filed under: Hypoponera beppin
Lineage: Eukaryota; Metazoa; Arthropoda; Insecta; Hymenoptera; Formicidae
Description: partial 28S ribosomal RNA
Rfam family: Eukaryotic large subunit ribosomal RNA
Source: RNAcentral